This 230-nucleotide ribosomal RNA is filed under the name uncultured bacterium. RNAcentral describes it as "partial 16S ribosomal RNA". It matches the Rfam family "Bacterial small subunit ribosomal RNA", at positions 562 to 791 of the family's 1533-position model. The record is from RNAcentral.
AAAGCGUGCGCAGGCGGUUUUGUAAGACUGUCGUGAAAUCCCCGGGCUCAACCUGGGAAUGGCGAUGGUGACUGCAAGGCUAGAGUUUGGCAGAGGGGGGUAAAAUUCCACGUGUAGCAGUGAAAUGCGUAGAUAUGUGGAGGAACACCGAUGGCGAAGGCAGCCCCCUGGGUCAAAACUGACGCUCAUGCACGAAAGCGUGGGGAGCAAACAGGAUUAGAUACCCUGGU